UACGGAGGGUGCGAGCGUUGUCCGGAAUCACUGGGCGUAAAGGGCGCGUAGGCGGCGCGGGAAGUCCGUGGUGAAAGCCCGAGGCUCAACUUCGGGUCGGCCAUGGAUACUCCUGGGCUUGAGCACUGUAGAGGCAGGUGGAAUUCCGGGUGUAGCGGUGGAAUGCGUAGAGAUCCGGAAGAACACCGGUGGCGAAGGCGGCCUGCUGGGCUAUGGCUGACACUGAGGCGCGACAGCGUGGGGAGCAAACAGG
This 253-nucleotide ribosomal RNA is filed under the name uncultured bacterium. Its description in RNAcentral is "partial 16S ribosomal RNA". It matches the Rfam family "Bacterial small subunit ribosomal RNA", at positions 524 to 776 of the family's 1533-position model. The record is from RNAcentral.